RNAcentral lists this ribosomal RNA (497 nucleotides) under uncultured bacterium. RNAcentral's name for it is "partial 16S ribosomal RNA". It matches the Rfam family "Bacterial small subunit ribosomal RNA", at positions 28 to 507 of the family's 1533-position model. The record is from RNAcentral.
GAUGAACGCUGGCGGCGUGCCUAAUACAUGCGAGUCGAGCGAACAGACGAGGAGCUUGCUCCUCUGACGUUAGCGGCGGACGGGUGAGUAACACGUGGAUAACCUACCUAUAAGACUGGGAUAACUUCGGGAAACCGGAGCUAAUACCGGAUAAUAUAUUGAACCGCAUGGUUCAAUAGUGAAAGACGGUUUUGCUGUCACUUAUAGAUGGAUCCGCGCCGCAUUAGCUAGUUGGUAAGGUAACGGCUUACCAAGGCAACGAUGCGUAGCCGACCUGAGAGGGUGACAGACCACGGUGGAAGAGCGACCGAGCCCGGACCCGGACGGAGAGAGACGGUAGGGAAGCUUCCAGAAUGGAGAAAGACCGAACAUCGCAGCCCGGGGGGAAGAAUAAGGGACUUGGGAUCUAAAAACUCUUUAAGAGGGAAGAAAAAAAAGCAAAAGUAAAAGGGAAGGUCAGGACGGUACCAAAUAAAAAAGCCCCGGCAAACUUCGUG